This 236-nucleotide ribosomal RNA is filed under the name uncultured bacterium. Its description in RNAcentral is "partial 16S ribosomal RNA". It matches the Rfam family "Bacterial small subunit ribosomal RNA", at positions 100 to 334 of the family's 1533-position model. The record is from RNAcentral.
CGGGACGGGUGAGUAACGCGUGGGUAACCUGCCUCAUACAGGGGGAUAACAGUUAGAAAUGACUGCUAAUACCGCAUAAGCGCACAGUACCGCAUGGUACAGUGUGAAAAACUCCGGUGGUGUGAGAUGGAUCCGCGUCUGAUUAGCCAGUUGGCGGGGUAACGGCCCACCAAAGCGACGAUCAGUAGCCGACCUGAGAGGGUGACCGGCCACAUUGGGACUGAGACACGGCCCAA